RNAcentral lists this long non-coding RNA (357 nucleotides) under Zostera marina. RNAcentral describes it as "long non-coding RNA (ZMAR_LNC004452)". The record is from RNAcentral. Lineage: Eukaryota; Viridiplantae; Streptophyta; Magnoliopsida; Alismatales; Zosteraceae.
GAGAAAAAUGUUAUCAUCUAGUGGGCAGGCCAAAGAUAAAUUUCAGAAAAAGGUUCAAGGUAAAAAACCUCAGGGCAGUACAACAGAAUCAGAUAUUGCAAAUCAAGUGGCAUCCACUAGCAACCAGCAACAACUCAUGUUAACCCAAGAAGAAAUUCAGCUCUUUAAAAAACUAAUCUCCUCAACCAAAACAAACAGCAAUUCUGGUAAUAUUUCUUCUUUUUCAUUCAAUAUAAAUUCUUACAUUGAUAAAUGGAUAGUAGACACCGGGGCAUCACAACAUAUGACCGGUAGCCUCCAUUUAUUCACAAAACCCCUAAUCCAAGAACAUAACCACUUUGUUACUAUACCUAGUGG